Molecule: ribosomal RNA, 490 nt
Filed under: uncultured bacterium
Lineage: Bacteria
Description: partial 16S ribosomal RNA
Rfam family: Bacterial small subunit ribosomal RNA
Source: RNAcentral
GAUGAACGCUAGCGAUAGGCUUAACACAUGCAAGCCGAGGGGCAGCAUGGUCUUAGCUUGCUAAGACUGAUGGCGACCGGCGCACGGGUGCGUAACGCGUAUGCAACUUGCCUCACAGAGGGGGAUAACCCGUCGAAAGACGGACUAAUACCGCGUACACUUGGGAUAGGGCAUCCUGACCCAAGGAAAUGAAAUUCGCUGUGAGAUAGGCAUGCGUCCCAUUAGCUAGUUGGUGAGGUAACGGCUCACCAAGGCGACGAUGGGUAGGGGAACUGAGAGGUUGAACCCCCACACUGGUACUGAGACACGGACCAGACUCCUACGGGAGGCAGCAGUGAGGAAUAUUGGUCAAUGGGCGAGAGCCUGAACCAGCCAAGUCGCGUGAAGGAUGACUGUCUUAUGGAUUGUAAACUUCUUUUAGACGGGAAUAACAAGAGCCACGUGUGGCUCCCUGCAUGUACCGUAUGAAUAAGCAUCGGCUAACUCCGUG